Molecule: ribosomal RNA, 253 nt
Filed under: uncultured bacterium
Lineage: Bacteria
Description: partial 16S ribosomal RNA
Rfam family: Bacterial small subunit ribosomal RNA
Source: RNAcentral
UACGAAGGGGGCGAGCGUCGUUCGGAUUUACUGGGCGUAAAGGGCGCGCAGGCGGCUUUGUUUGUCAGGCGUGAAAGCCCCGGGCUUAACCUGGGAACUGCGUUUGAUACGGCAGGGCUAGAGUUCGGGAGAGGAGAGUGGAAUUCCCAGUGUAGAGGUGAAAUUCGUAGAUAUUGGGAAGAACACCGGUGGCGAAGGCGGCUCUCUGGACCGAUACCGACGCUGAGGCGCGAAAGCGUGGGGAGCAAACAGG